This 477-nucleotide ribosomal RNA is filed under the name uncultured bacterium. RNAcentral's name for it is "partial 16S ribosomal RNA". It matches the Rfam family "Bacterial small subunit ribosomal RNA", at positions 28 to 523 of the family's 1533-position model. The record is from RNAcentral.
GACGAACGCUGGCGGCGUGCUUAACACAUGCAAGUCGAACGGUAAGGCCCUUCGGGGUACACGAGUGGCGAACGGGUGAGUAACACGUGGGUAAUCUGCCCUGCACUUCGGGAUAAGCCUGGGAAACUGGGUCUAAUACCGGAUAUGAGCUUUCACCGCAUGGUGGGGGUUGGAAAGUUUUUCGGUGCAGGAUGAGUCCGCGGCCUAUCAGCUUGUUGGUGGGGUAAUGGCCCACCAAGGCGACGACGGGUAGCCGGCCUGAGAGGGUGAUCGGCCACACUGGGACUGAGACACGGCCCAGACUCCUACGGGAGGCAGCAGUGGGGAAUAUUGCACAAUGGGCGAAAGCCUGAUGCAGCGACGCCGCGUGGGGGAUGACGGUCUUCGGAUUGUAAACCCCUUUCAGUAGGGACGAAGCGCAAGUGACGGUACCUGCAGAAGAAGCACCGGCCAACUACGUGCCAGCCGCCGCCGUAA